This 238-nucleotide ribosomal RNA is filed under the name uncultured bacterium. RNAcentral's name for it is "partial 16S ribosomal RNA". It matches the Rfam family "Bacterial small subunit ribosomal RNA", at positions 109 to 334 of the family's 1533-position model. The record is from RNAcentral.
AGUAACACGUGGGUAACCUGCCCGGAAGUGGGGGAAUACCUCGGGGAAACUCGAGCUAAUGCCGCAUAAAAUCUCCGGGACGAAAGUCCUGAUGAUCAAAGCGGGGUCGCAAGAUCUCGCGCUACCGGAUGGGCCCGCGCCCGAUUAGCUAGUUGGUGAGGUAAUGGCUCACCAAGGCAACGAUCGGUAGCCGGCCUGAGAGGGUGAUCGGCCACACCGGAACUGAGACACGGUCCGG